GGGGGAUUAGCUCAGUUGGGAGAGCGAUUGCCUUGCACGCAGUAGGUCAACGGUUCGAGCCCGUUAUCCUCCA
This 73-nucleotide transfer RNA is filed under the name Abditibacteriota bacterium. RNAcentral's name for it is "tRNA-Ala". It matches the Rfam family "tRNA". Rfam says of the family: Transfer RNA (tRNA) molecules are approximately 80 nucleotides in length. Their secondary structure includes four short double-helical elements and three loops (D, anti-codon, and T loops). Lineage: Bacteria; Pseudomonadati; Abditibacteriota. The record is from RNAcentral.